Molecule: ribosomal RNA, 257 nt
Filed under: uncultured Lachnospiraceae bacterium
Lineage: Bacteria; Bacillati; Bacillota; Clostridia; Lachnospirales; Lachnospiraceae
Description: partial 16S ribosomal RNA
Source: RNAcentral
GGAGUUUGGGCCGUGUCUCAGUCCCAAUGUGGCCGGUCAUCCUCUCAGGUCGGCUACUGAUCGUCGCCUUGGUGAGCCGUUACCUCACCAACUAGCUAAUCAGACGCGGGUCCAUCUUGUACCGAAAAUAUUUUUCACACUGCAUCAUGCAAUGCUGUGCGCUUAUGCGGUAUUAGCAGUCGUUUCCAACUGUUGUCCCCCCUGUACAAGGUAGGUUACCCACGCGUUACUCACCCGUCCGCCACUCAGUCAACAAU